GGCUUCUUGUCUAUGAAAGCAAAGCAUUUCUCUCCUGACUUGCCUGCUAAAUAGGGUGUGUCAGAAAAGGCUUUUUUUGUAGCAUAAGAUAAAUGCUCUUGCAUGAGGUGUUGACGGUCAGUUGUUUUACCAGUUCAAAGGGAGAAAACCAAACCAGGCUGACGGUGACGCUCCUUUCAGCGAGGCUUGGUAUAUAUUUGAGCAAGUAUUUCAUCAGGGCUUUUUGUGUUAAUGCUGCUUUUGGUUGUGUUUGUUUUUCUGUGCAUUUGACUCGCUGUCAGUGUUUCUCAUACAGUAGGAGUGUUCCUCCUAGUGAGUGUUUUCCACUCAAAGCAAGCAAUUGUGGUACAAAGCAAGAAUCAUCUCAACAAGUGGUUCGGGUUUUCUGUUGCACUUGGCUUUGGGGUUUUUCUUUCUUUCUUUUUGUUACCCAGCAACACUAUUUAACUUUGCUACUGUGAGUUUCAAAGUUUUCUCGAAAAACUUGGCAUGAAUUUCCCCUUUCUGCCCCAUUGGUAGGCACCGUUUCUCUUAGAAAAGCUUCUACCCUCUACCUUCACUACCCUGUUUUGAAGCAGUGCUCCAGUUUAGCCUGCAGCGCUGGCUCUUGCAUCCUUUUCCGUUCAGCUCCUGCGUCCGGUGAAAACUGAGCGUACACACGUGAGGAGAAACGGCUGCUUUUCUCCAGGCAAGGACGUGACUCGCAGAACGUGAAGAAACAAAAUGUCCUGACCCCCCUGGAGUGGUUUGGGUCUCAGGAGGGACCUGGGAGCCUCCUUUUGUGUCCUGGGUGCGGCCGUGGCUGGAAAAGGGGUAAAGGAUGGAGCAGGGGGGAGAGGAGCAGUGAUUGGGAGCGAUGGUUCCUUGGGGAUUUGCAUCUGGAAACAGCCAUCCUUUUCCCCAUGGGAGUCCUGGAAAGAGCACUGAGCAAUGAGGAUACUGCAGCUGGAGCGCUGGCAAUGGAGCGUCUGCAGGGAAUAUUGCCUGGGACAGCGUCUUAGCCCAGGUGUCGGGAGCUGUGUGCACAUUCCUCCCUGGAGCAGGGAACCCCCGUGAGGAGGAGCCAGAGAUGGGGGCAUCGAACCAGAAUGGCGUGUCAGCUACAGAAUGAGAUCUGUGAACACGUGCGCAGUUGCCUGUGCAAGCUGUCUGACGUUGUGUCUGUGCUGGAUCUGCUGCUUUCAUUUGCCCACGCCUGCGCCCUUUCUGAUUGUGAAUUUACCGAUACUUUAGCGAUCAAGCAGGGGUGGCAUCCCAUUCUUGAAAAGACAGCUCUGGCAAAACCUGUGGCUAGCAACACAUCCCUGACAGAGGUCAACGGUCUUGUCAUUGUUACAGGACCAAAGGUGAGUGGAAAAUCGACAUGCCUGAAACAGAUUGCUCUCUGCCAAAUGAAGGCACAGAUUGGUGAGUAAGAGUGUACAACAUCAAUCCUCUUCUGCAGCACAUUUUUUUUCCUGGUUAA
Molecule: long non-coding RNA, 1465 nt
Organism: Catharus ustulatus (Swainson's thrush)
Lineage: Eukaryota; Metazoa; Chordata; Aves; Passeriformes; Turdidae
Exons: 5
Source: RefSeq, a predicted model, not a curated record